UGAAUUUUGUUACAAGUUGAAUGCAAAUGAACACUGUUAGCAUUCGAAAAGGCACAAGCUCUUACUUGACUCUUUUCAGUCUGUGUUUUUAGUUUUAUGGCACAUAAUGAUGGCAUUUGGGCUUAAAAAGCCAAACGUAUAUUUUUUUGUCUAGACCAAUUGAUUUGAAAAUAUACAAUUUCCUAAUACUUGACGCACUUCUGAUCAGAUAUUCAAGAGAUUUAAUACAAACAAACACAUUUGUACUUAUUUUUUCACCCAAUGAGAAUCGAUAAGAGAAUCGAUAAGGAAUCGGAUCGAUAAGCAGAAUCGGAAUCGGAAUUGUGAAAUUCUUAUCAAUUCCCAUCCCUAGGACUCGUAUACCCGUAUUUCUGAAGUUGUGGAAGAGAAUGCUAUUCCAUCAGUGAAUUAGGCCAUAUUAUUUGGCCAUAAACUGAGCCAUUUGAAGUUUGAAAUUCAUGUGGUCAUGCAUCUAUCUCAGCGGAGACUACAAACGCGCUGUCAAAAUAUCAACUCGUCAGAUUCAAAUGCGCUCAUGGCUCUUAAAGGGGAUGGGAGAUGGCACUCUCAUUGGUUUAUUGCAUGUUACGCCCAAACCACACCUACGUGUAAUUAGGCUACUUCAGACCAACCCUUUUUGGAUUUGCACCUGGCGCAAGAGUCAUUUAUCCACCGGUAAAAUAGCAACAUCGCCAUAGAACCACCCACAAAGCUACUUGCGUUUGGCGCUUCUCACUUGCGUUUCAGACCGUUAAAAUAGGGCCGAUAGUCUUUAUGAUUCAUAAUAUCAUCCAAGGCGCACAUAGCUUUUGGCCGUGAUAUUACACAGCAAAAUCUGCAGUGUUAAUUAUUUCGAGUUGCUUAGUGUUGAUUUUGGUGUUUUUUAACACUUGCAGUGCAAAAAUAGCUCUGUGCGUGGUAUUGUUUAAGAGAGUUGAUUGUAUGCACGCGCAACAGAGUUAAUCUCAGAGUUAAUUCCAUAUCCGGUUUUAAGGCGCUCUUUUUCUUGAACGCGGCCAUUGCAGUCUUGGUGGAGAAAGGCAGCCCAGCUUCUGGAAGGGGAACAUAAUAUACUAUUUGAAAAGUUUCUUUUUUUUUAGAUGAGGCAUCAUGUUGUUGAAGGUGAAAUACCAGGGUACCAAGAAGUACAUCAGAUUGCAGUCAGGCUUCACCUAUUUGGAAUUCAUCAAUGAAGUCAAAAGCAAGCUUGGUCUUCCUGAUGCGGCAGUGGAUGAAGACAUCCUUCUUGAACUGAUAAGAGUCCAAUCCUGACUUAUGCCUGACAGUAUGUGACAGCUUUCCAGUUGAAGAUCAUUCAUCACCAUCUUCCCUCACGGAUACCAUGUCAUCUUCUUCGAGUGAUAAUGACCUCUCCAGUCUAAGAGAAUGGGGGAUUCCCAUAGACAGAAAUGUAUCCAACUUUGAAGUCAUGACAGAUCUACCACAGAGGGCUGAGGGUCAGAGGCAGCGUAAGAGAUGGUAGAAAAGGCCUCGCUAAGGAAACCUGGAAGUGAGGAUGUCCUGGAAGAGUACAAGUCAGAAAAUACGUUGAAGCACAGCACCCGGAGACACCUUGUUAACAUUCUGGCUAGCCAUAUGACUGAAAUGCAUGGGAGCACUUCUAUGAUGGGGGGAAAAACACAGGAUAUUUAUCAUGGCGCCUGAGGACCAUGUCCAGGAAGAACCGGGCGACGAGCAGUCCACAGGCAGCCACAGUGCCUCAACUACAAGGACCAAAGUGCCAAAGACCAGCCGCCACAGAGCCUCAGCAGCUUGAUGGAGAUGCUUGCAGGGAGGCAAUUUAUUUUGUUGUUCACUCUCCUGAUGAAGCAAGUGUGUUUUUGAAGAUGAAGUUGACCUUACAACAUCGCCAAGACCUAGUGCGUGACGCAGAGAUCUGCCGACGUCUUCAAAUCAUUUCCCAGUUUUCAAAGGACUACUGAAUCAAGACUUACUGCUGCUGUUUGGUGGUGAAACAGCAUCCAAGAUGCUUGAAAAAUGGGACACAGCAUUAAAGAACAAGGUUAUCAUAGAGGCCAAACAACUGACUCAGUCAAAAGAGCUGUGCCGACUUCUGAAUGCUGCUGAGAAACCUACGGAGAAUGAUGACACUACUAAGCUGGGACAGUGACAUGGCUUCUCUGCUGCUGCUCCUUCAUCUCUUGCCACCCACAGCUGGACGGAAGAAGAGCAAAAUCAGUGCCAGUGAUGCAGUGGAAAAAAUGGUUCAUUUUCACAAGUCGUGCUGCAGUAUUGAUGAACACCUGCGUGGGAGAAAGGGUCAACAACCGUACAUCCUUGCUGCUGGUCGCACCCAGAACAAGAUUGACACCUUCUAUAUCGUCGUUGACAAACAGUUCAUCCCCUGCCAUGCCACCAGCUUCUAAGGUGCUUUUGAUGAACUUUUCAAAUCACACUACGUGUUCAACCUGUCAUACGAGGAGUCCCUGGUCCAGCUCUACACAUUUGUGCAGACAACAGUACUCUACAACAUCGAUGUCACAACAACAGACGAGUCUCUUGAAGAAUCCGUGAGUUGCGGGCAAAACUCCUGAACUAGGAUUAAAACAUGUAUAAGUGUUUCAUAUGUGAAGCUGUACACCAGACUGUCCAGUCCUUGGUAACCCAUUCAAGAAUUGAUCACAGUUUCUAUCCUAGAAGCAGGUUUAAGUUGGUUUGUGCACAAGAUCGUUGUAGGCGUCAGUUUUUGUCAUAUUCUAGUUUAAAAAAACAUUUAAUGAGAGUUCAUGAGGAGAGUUUUGUCAAAGUGGUGUUGCAGCAAACCCGGAGUCCUUUCAACCUAUCUAUCAGUGUCCAAAGUACUUCAGAAGUUGGUGAAACAGGUGUCCCACAGAGCUUAAAGGCUGGUUGUUUUGAGGACAAUGUAUCUGGUGUUAACAAAGAACAUACUAAAAAUAUCUGUGCUUCAAUUGUUGCUAAACUUCAAGAAAGUGGUAUGGCAAAUAGUCUUGUUUCAACAAUUGUUAGUGAUUUGGAAGAACUUGCUACUGGACUGCACUCCCAAGUUAAGCAAGAAAUACUAUCUGCUGUGCCUAAAGACAAUUCUAUCCGAUCUACAUUCGAAGGUCUUGAUACUUUUGAAAAUCCAUUUGUAAGAUUUAAUACUGAAACUAAAAGAAUAAGAUAUUUCAACGAAAAAUGGGGUGUUGAGCCUGUAGAAAUAAUGUUAGGACAUUGAUUCGAUACAAGGCGAAAUAAACAAACCGUUUACUUAUGAUCAAGUUCAAGUAAAAGACACUUUUUUUUACGUUCCAAUUUUGGAAACGAUCCAAUUCAUGUACCGCAAUUCUGAUAUGUGUAAAUUGCUUGGGAAAAAAGUUUGUAUCGAAAACUGACAAAUUUGAAGACUUUUGUGAUGGUAGUUAUUUUAAGACGCAUGCAUUGUUCUCUAAACAACGGACUUCUUUACAAAUUCAGAUGUACUAUGAUGACUUUGAAACUGCUAACCGGACCUUUGAAACCAUUUCAUUUUGAUGAGGAUAGUGAGAGGAUUGCCCGAGCCCUUCAUGCUAGGGCUGAACGAUUUCAGGAAAUGAUUGAAUUGCGAUUUUUCUGGCAGAUAUUGCGAUUUCGAUUUUCUUCACGAUUUUCUUCAAAUCAAGCUUCAGUGCAAUAUUCACAAUGUACAGUAAUAUUUACAAACAUGACAUCAUACCAUUAAAACAUGACAUGCCAUUACUCUAAUGCAAGAAUGAAAACUAAAGUUAAGAAUUGAUUUUAAAUGUAUUUAUUAAGAAACAUGUAUGUAAACUAAAGUCCUUGACCAACUGCAGUUGUUACAAAUUAACUAGA
Gadus chalcogrammus (walleye pollock) is the source of this 3813-nucleotide long non-coding RNA. RefSeq lists it as uncharacterized. The record is from RefSeq and is a predicted model, not a curated record. Lineage: Eukaryota; Metazoa; Chordata; Actinopteri; Gadiformes; Gadidae. The transcript has 9 exons.